This 409-nucleotide ribosomal RNA is filed under the name Blastocystis sp. Its description in RNAcentral is "SSU rRNA". It matches the Rfam family "Eukaryotic small subunit ribosomal RNA", at positions 520 to 940 of the family's 1831-position model. Lineage: Eukaryota; Bigyra; Opalinata; Blastocystidae. The record is from RNAcentral.
ACAACGUACAACUCUUAUCGAUAAGCCAUUGGAGGGCAAGUCUGGUGCCAGCAGCCGCGGUAAUUCCAGCUCCAAUAGCGUAUAUUAACGUUGUUGCAGUUAAAAAGCUCGUAGUUGAAGUGAGGGAGUGUGUGGGUAUGAGAGCUAGUCUCAAGUACUUACAACCUCCCCCCUCCAAUCGGUGUAGUGGGGUAUUCAGUUAUUCUACUACUCCUUUGGUCGUUUACUGUGAGAAAAUUAGAGUGUUCAAAGCGGGCGUUUGUUUGAAUAGAUUAGCAUGGAAUAAUGAUUGAAGGCUUUCGUGUUCGAUUUGAUUGGUUUGUUCAUGGAAGCAAGGUUAAAAGGAACAGUUGGGGGUAUUCAUAUUCACUAGUUAGAGGUGAAAUUCUCGGAUUUAUGGAAGAUGAAC